This 3033-nucleotide ribosomal RNA is filed under the name Methylomirabilis oxygeniifera (SeqCode). RNAcentral describes it as "Candidatus Methylomirabilis oxyfera (bioanode metagenome) 23S ribosomal RNA". It matches the Rfam family "Bacterial large subunit ribosomal RNA". Lineage: Bacteria; Methylomirabilota (SeqCode); Methylomirabilia (SeqCode); Methylomirabilales (SeqCode); Methylomirabilaceae (SeqCode). The record is from RNAcentral.
GGUCAAGCUACUAAGAGUGUACGGUGGAUGCCUUGGCAUCAGCAGGCGAUGAAGGGCGUGGUAAGCUGCGAUAAGCCUCGGGUAGUCGCACACAGACGCUAAUCCGAGGAUGCCCGAAUGGGGAAACCCGAUCCGAGUCAUGUCGGAUCAUCGCUGGGUGAAUACAUAGCCCAGAUGAGGCUAACCGGGGGAACUGAAACAUCUCAGUACCUCGAGGAAAAGAAAGCAACCGCGAUUCCCUAAGUAGCGGCGAGCGAAAGGGGAUGAGCCUAAACCGGCGGCGUGUGAUAGCCCGUAUGCGUUGCGUCGACGGGGUUGAGGGGUCUUGCCUGAUUCUAGUACGGUAGAGUCGAAGAGUGAUAAAUCUCACUCCUAAUUGAACGAUCUGGAAAGGUCGGCCAUAGAAGGUGACAGCCCUGUAGAGUAAAGGAGUGAGACUCUUUGCGCAGGAUACCCAAGUACCAUAGGACACGUGAAAUCCUGUGGGAAUCCGGGGGGACCGCCCUCCAAGGCUAAACACUCGCUGAUGACCGAUAGUGAACCAGUACCGUGAGGGAAAGGUGAAAAGCACCCCUGUGAGGGGAGUGAAAUAGUACCUGAAACCGUACACUUACAAGCAGUCGAAGGGCUAUGCUCGCCGCAAGGCGAGAAUGCCUGACGGCGUGCCUUUUGCUUAAUGAGCCGGCGAGUUACUUGUACGCAGCAAGGUUAAGCCGCGAGGCGGAGCCGUAGCGAAAGCGAGUCCGAAUAGGGCGAUUGAGUUGCGUGCAGUAGACCCGAAGCCAGGUGAGCUACCCCUGGCCAGAGUGAAGUGCCGGUAACACGGCAUGGAAGCUCGAACUCAUCACGGUUGAAAACGUGUGGGAUGAGCUGGGGGUAGGAGUGAAAGGCCAAUCAAACCUGGAAAUAGCUGGUUCUCCCCGAAAUAGCUUUAGGGCUAGCCUCGCAACGUAAGUGGCGGAGGUAGAGCACUGGAUGAGCUAGGGCUCUCACAAGGGUACCAAACUCAACCAAACUCCGAAUGCCGUCAACUGGAAUUGCGGGAGUCAGACUGUGGGGGCUAAGCUCCAUGGUCGAGAGGGAAACAGCCCAGACCACCAGCUAAGGUCCUGGAGUGCAGGCUAAGUGGGAAAGGAUGUCAGAUUACUUAGACAACCAGGAGGUUGGCUUAGAGGCAGCCAUCCUUUAAAGAGUGCGUAACAGCUCACUGGUCAAGUGUUCUGGCGCCGAUAAUGUAACGGGGCUCAAGCCUGCCACCGACGCUGUGGGAUUUCGUUCGCUUCGGCGAAUGGAUUCGGUAGGGGAGCAUUCUGCAAUCAGUGAAGCUGGACGGUGACGACCGGUGGAGAGUGCAGAAGCGAUUAUGCCGGCCUAAGUAACGAUAAACUAGGUGAAAAACCUAGUCGCCGUAAAUCUAAGGUUUCCUGGGGAAGGUUAAUCCGCCCAGGGUUAGUCGGUUCCUAAGCUGAGGCCUAAGGGCGUAAGCGAAGGGCAACAGGUUAAUAUUCCUGUACUACUGGACGACGACAAAGACGCGAUGGGGGGACGCAGAAGGGUAGGCCAUGCCCGUGUCGGACAUCGGGCUCUAAGCCGGUAGGGGGUCUCGACAGGCAAAUCCGUUGAGACAUUAACCCUGAGAGGUGACGGGGAGGCCGUAAGGCCACAAACUGGCUCAGCCCAUGCUGCCAAGAAAAGCCUCUAGCGAGUCGUUCGGUAACCGUACCGCAAACCGACUCAGGUAGACAGGGAGAGUAUCCCAAGGCGCUCGAGAGAACACUCGCUAAGGAACUCGGCAAAAUAGCCCCGUAACUUCGGGAAAAGGGGUACCAUACCGGGGUGAGCAGGUUCACCCUGCAAAGCCCCGGGAGGUCGCAGUGAAUCGGGCCAAGCGACUGUUUAAUAAAAACACAGGUCCGUGCUAAGCCGAAAGGCGAUGUAUACGGACUGACGCCUGCCCGGUGCCGGACGGUUAACAGGAGGGGUCAUUCGCCGCAAGGCGGAAAAGCUCUGAAUCGAAGCCCCGGUAAACGGCGGCCGUAACUAUAACGGUCCUAAGGUAGCGAAAUUCCUUGUCGGGUAAGUUCCGACCUGCACGAAUGGCGUAACGACUUGGCCGCUGUCUCAGCGAGUGGCUCGGUGAAAUUGUAGUACCGGUGAAGAUGCCGGUUACCCGCAGCUAGACGGAAAGACCCCGUGAACCUUUACUGUAGCUUGGCAUUGGAUCUUGGUGUGGUUUGUGUAGGAUAGGUGGGAGGCUUUGAAGCGGGGGCGCUAGCCCUCGUGGAGCCAUCCUUGAAAUACCACCCUUUCUACUCUGGGCUUCUAACCCGGACCUGUGAAGCCAGGUCGGGGACAAUGUCAGGUGGGCAGUUUGACUGGGGCGGUCGCCUCCUAAAGAGUAACGGAGGCGCCCAAAGGUUCCCUCAGCACGGUCGGCAAUCGUGCGUUGAGUGCAAAGGCAUAAGGGAGCUUAACUGCGAGACCUACAAGUCAAGCAGGUGCGAAAGCAGGGCUUAGUGAUCCGGUGGUCCCGAGUGGAAGGGCCAUCGCUCAACGGAUAAAAGGUACUCCGGGGAUAACAGGCUUAUCUCCCCCAAGAGUCCACAUCGACGGGGAGGUUUGGCACCUCGAUGUCGGCUCAUCGCAUCCUGGGGCUGAAGCAGGUCCCAAGGGUUGGGCUGUUCGCCCAUUAAAGCGGUACGCGAGCUGGGUUUAGAACGUCGUGAGACAGUUCGGUCCCUAUCUGCUGCGGGCGUAGGAGAUUUGCGGGGAUCUGUCCCUAGUACGAGAGGACCGGGAUGGACGAACCUCUAGUGUGCCAGUUGUUCUGCCAAGGGCAUCGCUGGGUAGCUAUGUUCGGAAGGGAUAAACGCUGAAAGCAUCUAAGUGCGAAGCCCACCCCAAGAUGAGAUCUCCCGGGCGAAAGCCCCUAAAGACUCCUUGCAGAUCACAAGGUUGAUAGGCCAGGUGUGUAAGCGCAGGAAUGCGUUUAGCUUACUGGUACUAAUCGGUCGUGCGGCUUGACCCCAAUUU